This 232-nucleotide long non-coding RNA is filed under the name Mytilus galloprovincialis (Mediterranean mussel). Lineage: Eukaryota; Metazoa; Mollusca; Bivalvia; Mytilida; Mytilidae. The record is from RNAcentral.
GAGGCCUACACUGCCAACAGGUGGGUCACUAAUAACUGGAGCAUUGGUAAUACGAGUGUUUCCCCGGUCACUCCCCAUGGUAGGUGGUGGUGUAACUGUGUUUAACUACCAGGGGUUUUAUGACACUAUGUCAACAUAGGUCAGCUGAUAGCCAUUCUAUUAGGUAAUCGGUAGUCACCCUGGCGCCUCAACAAAAUAUUAUAGAAUACUCUGUAGCCAAAGUAAUGCCACA